This 380-nucleotide ribosomal RNA is filed under the name uncultured bacterium. RNAcentral describes it as "bacterial SSU rRNA". It matches the Rfam family "Bacterial small subunit ribosomal RNA", at positions 8 to 376 of the family's 1533-position model. The record is from RNAcentral.
AGAGUUUGAUCAUGGCUCAGGAUGAACGCUAGCGGCAGGCUUAACACAUGCAAGUCGAGGGGCAGCAUAAUGGAUAGCAAUAUCUAUGGUGGCGACCGGCGCACGGGUGCGUAACGCGUAUGCAACCUACCUUUAACAGGGGGAUAACACUGAGAAAUUGGUACUAAUACCCCAUAAUAUCAUAGAAGGCAUCUUUUAUGGUUGAAAAUUCCGAUGGUUAGAGAUGGGCAUGCGUUGUAUUAGCUAGUUGGUGGGGUAACGGCUCACCAAGGCGACGAUACAUAGGGGGACUGAGAGGUUAACCCCCCANACUGGUACUGAGACACGGACCAGACUCCUACGGGAGGACACGACCAGUGAGGCGGUCGUGGACGAAGGCC